GAUGAACGCUGGCGGCGUGCCUAAUACAUGCAAGUCGAGCGAACAGACGAGGAGCUUGCUCCUCUGACGUUAGCGGCGGACGGGUGAGUAACACGUGGAUAACCUACCUAUAAGACUGGGAUAACUUCGGGAAACCGGAGCUAAUACCGGAUAAUAUAUUGAACCGCAUGGUUCAAUAGUGAAAGACGGUUUUGCUGUCACUUAUAGAUGGAUCCGCGCCGCAUUAGCUAGUUGGUAAGGUAACGGCUUACCAAGGCGACGAUGCGUAGCCGACCUGAGAGGGUGAUCGGCCACAAUGGAACUGAGACACGGUCCAGACUCCUAAGGGAGGCAGCAGUAGGGAAUCUUCCGCAAUGGGCGAAAGCCUGACGGAGCAACGCCGCGUGAGUGAUGAAGGUCUUCGGAUCGUAAAACUCUGUUAUUAGGGAAGAACAAAUGUGUAAGUAACUAUGCACGUCUUGACGGUACCUAAUCAGAAAGCCACGGCUAACUACGUG
Molecule: ribosomal RNA, 497 nt
Filed under: uncultured bacterium
Lineage: Bacteria
Description: partial 16S ribosomal RNA
Rfam family: Bacterial small subunit ribosomal RNA
Source: RNAcentral